This is a non-coding RNA of Ictidomys tridecemlineatus (thirteen-lined ground squirrel), 1438 nucleotides long. NCBI's taxonomy places the organism in Eukaryota, Metazoa, Chordata, Mammalia, Rodentia, Sciuridae. The record is from RefSeq and is a predicted model, not a curated record.
CUGAGAGCAGCAGCACAGGAGGCUGCCUGUCAAUGUCCCAGCCAGGAGCUGCCUGCAAAUGCUUCUGGCUCCGUUGAGACGGCUGAACUUGAGCCCAGCCCAGCAAUCAAGCACAUUAGCCCAGUCCUUCCAGCCCCGAACUAAAAGGUUCUGGUCCCUGCACAAGUAAGAAUUCUAAUGCAAUCUGAAAAUACACACUGACCUUAGGUGAUGCAGCCUGUCUCCUGAGAAGAUUUGGGGGAAAGGAAUGAAACAAGGAGAUUUAAAUAGCAGAUAAUUGCAAACAUGUUGUUUUUUGGCUUAGAAGGUAUUGUAUGGCUUUUCAUUAUUAUUAUUGUUGUUGUUGUUGUUGUUUGGAGAGUUGCUUUAGUUUUCAGAUUAAAUCUCAAGUUUUCAAGUCUAAGUCUUUUCUUCGUUUACAAUCCUUCAGGAGUGUUCCAUUGCAAUGGGGGAGGCUGUCACCACCUGGACCCUGCUCUCUAGCUAUACCCAGUGAAAUGGGCUACAGUAGCAAUAUUUUUGGAGUUCCCAGAAUGUUCUGCCUUCCCCUCUUGCUGUGCUUUAGGUGAGUGUCCACAGGGGGGCACUGUUGGAAGGUGCUGUGAACCUUUGUGAAGUGGGGCCCUGUGGAGGGUCUUUAGGUCACUGGAGGUGUGUCCUUGAAGAGGAUUGUAGGACCUGCACCCCUCUCCUUCCUCUUUCUCUCUCUUUGCUUUCCUGGCAUAUAAGAUAAGCAGUCUGCAUGGCCAUGUGCUCUGGUCUUUAAUUAUGGAUUGGAACCUCCAAAACCCUGGGCCAAAAUAAACGUUUUUCUCUUUAUCAGUUAAUUGUGUCAGGGAUUUUGUUAUAGUAAUGACAAACUGACAAUACAUCUCUUCUUCCGGUAAUUCAACUACUGUUUCCUAGUGGGAACCUCUAUGGCCCAGGAGCACUGUUCCUUGUCUGUAUCUGCCCAAGGAGAGGUCAGGGAUCAGGACCUGCCAAAGUCUCUCCUUCCCUUCCCCUCAACUGGGAGGCCUGGUGACCUGGGUGAAAGUAUCUCAUCACAAUACUUGCUAUCUGGAGGCUGCAAGAGAGAUGUCGAUCUUUACCUAGAUCCCCAAGGUCAAUGGAACACAUGGACGGAAUACUUUAAGAACUGUUUUCCCACUCCACGACCCACAGUGGAGAAAUCCUGCCUCAGUGGGCUAACCUAGAAGACAGAAGGUCUGAAUCAGACAGAGAAAGAUGCCUGGUCACCAAAAAGAAAGAGAAUGAUCCCUGCAUUGCUCUGGCUUCCUGCCUCCCCUGACACUUCUCCCUCUUGCUCAUGUUUCUACAAUGAUGCUGUCAGUCAUGUUGUGAUCUAACUCUGAAGCUCACUUCAAGACCAAGAUACUGGCACCAUGCUCCUGAAUCUACAGAACUGUGAGCUAAAUAAACUUUCCUUUAUAAAGUU